CCUCCUUUUCUUGGCGGGGAGCUGGCGUGCGGUCUCGCUCCCCGUUAUGUGCGGAGGCAGAGGGAAAGGGUUGCGGCCCUCCCGGCGUCAUGUCUUCGGUGCCGGCGGCUUCCCGUCCGCCGGUUCUAUCCUCAAACGCCGGGACACGA
This is a small nucleolar RNA of Nannospalax galili (Upper Galilee mountains blind mole rat), 149 nucleotides long. NCBI's taxonomy places the organism in Eukaryota, Metazoa, Chordata, Mammalia, Rodentia, Spalacidae. The record is from Ensembl.